Molecule: unclassified non-coding RNA, 345 nt
Filed under: soil metagenome
Description: partial contains 5.8S ribosomal RNA, internal transcribed spacer 2, and large subunit ribosomal RNA
Rfam family: 5.8S ribosomal RNA (bases 1-119)
Source: RNAcentral
GAUGAAGAACGCAGCGAAAUGCGAUACGUAAUGUGAAUUGCAAAUUCAGUGAAUCAUCGAGUCUUUGAACGCACAUUGCGCCCCCUGGUAUUCCGGGGGGCAUGCCUGUCCGAGCGUCAUUGCUGCCCUCAAGCACGGCUUGUGUGUUGGGCCCCGUCCUCCGAUCCCGGGGGACGGGCCCGAAAGGCAGCGGCGGCACCGCGUCCGGUCCUCGAGCGUAUGGGGCUUUGUCACCCGCUCUUUAGGCCCGGCCGGCGCUUGCCGAUCAACCCAAAUUUUUAUCCAGGUUGACCUCGGAUCAGGUAGGGAUACCCGCUGAACUUAAGCAUAUCAAUAAGCGGAGGA